GAACAGUAUGCAUUCCUUUGAUGUCUGCAGUAUCACCAUUCUUAAAGAUUCACAUGUAUAUGGCCAUAGGAGCACCUCCAUGUUUUCUAAAAAGCCUACAGAACAUAUAUUGGGUGCUUCUCCUCUUCUUUCCCUUUGUGUUCAUCACUUUGGUGGAUUACUGGAAGAAGGAGGUUCUAACUGAAAGGCUAAAUUUAAAGUAUCCAACAAAAACAUCAAAGAAGAGUUCAAUAGUCAUGUAGGACAUGAUGGCUUCCCCUUCACCUCCUGCCACAGUUGUAUAUUUCCAGAGGCCUCCCCCAGCCACGCUUCCUGUACAGCCUGUGG
This is a non-coding RNA of Macaca mulatta (Rhesus monkey), 327 nucleotides long. The record is from RefSeq and is a predicted model, not a curated record. Lineage: Eukaryota; Metazoa; Chordata; Mammalia; Primates; Cercopithecidae.